Biomphalaria glabrata is the source of this 72-nucleotide non-coding RNA. Lineage: Eukaryota; Metazoa; Mollusca; Gastropoda; Planorbidae. The record is from Rfam.
GGCGCUGUGGCUGAGUGGUAAAGCGCUUGGCUUCCGAACCAGGGGUCCUGGGUUGGAAUCCUGGUGAAGACU